Molecule: long non-coding RNA, 150 nt
Organism: Brienomyrus brachyistius
Lineage: Eukaryota; Metazoa; Chordata; Actinopteri; Osteoglossiformes; Mormyridae
Exons: 3
Source: RefSeq, a predicted model, not a curated record
CAUGGGGGAGACCAACUGAGCCUCCCACACUCUGCAUUUCCGCUGAGUGCGACCUGUACUCAUUACAGGUGAAGGAUGCCCUGGCAGAUUCAGGGGGACCAGCACUUGAUUGGGGCCCUGAAAUACGUAAAAUCACACGUAAAAUUGGAC